This 73-nucleotide transfer RNA is filed under the name Actinomycetota bacterium. RNAcentral describes it as "tRNA-Gln". It matches the Rfam family "tRNA". From Rfam's summary of the family: Transfer RNA (tRNA) molecules are approximately 80 nucleotides in length. Their secondary structure includes four short double-helical elements and three loops (D, anti-codon, and T loops). The record is from RNAcentral. Lineage: Bacteria; Bacillati; Actinomycetota.
UCCGCCUUGGUGUAACUGGCAGCACUGCUCGUUUUGGUCGAGUCGGGUCCAGGUUCGAAUCCUGGGGGCGGAG